This 433-nucleotide ribosomal RNA is filed under the name uncultured bacterium. RNAcentral describes it as "partial 16S ribosomal RNA". It matches the Rfam family "Bacterial small subunit ribosomal RNA", at positions 29 to 507 of the family's 1533-position model. The record is from RNAcentral.
AACGAACGCUGGCGGCAUGCCUAACACAUGCAAGUCGAACGAGACCUUCGGGUCUAGUGGCGCACGGGGGCGUAACGCGUGGGAACCUGCCCUUAGGUUCGGAAUAACUCCCCGAAAGGGGUGCUAAUACCGGAUAAUGUCUUCGGACCAAAGAUUUAUCGCCUUUGGUUGGGCCCGCGUUGGAUUCGCUGGUUGGUAGGGUAAAAGCCUACCAAGGCUACGAUCCUUAGCUGGUCUGAGAGGAUGAUCAGCCACACUGGGACUGGGACACGGCCCAGACUCCUACGGGAGGCAGCCGUGGGGAAUAUUGGACAAUGGGCGAAAGCCUGAUCCAGCAAUGCCGCGUGAGUGAUGAAGGCCUUAGGGUUGUAAAGCUCUUUUACCCGGGAUGAUAAUGACAGUACCGGGAGAAUAAGCUCCGGCUAACUCCGUG